CUGAUCUGAUACAAAUGUUCAUUAUCACCAUUAAUUUUGACCAAUUAAAAUUGCACAAUAUACAAGUCAAAUUUAAUCUAUAAUGUUUAAAUAGUUUUUUAAAAAUAGCUUUUAAAAAUAUUUUUGAUUAUCAAAUAGAUAAACACUAAUCUAUUUCUAAUAAGUCUAAUUUUCUAUUUUUAUUUUUUCAGAUAUACAACAAAAUUAUAAUAAAAAAUUAUAUUACGUAAGUUCAAUUACAAACAACGAAAGGAAAUAGAUAGAAAACGUGACAUAUAAAAUGCAGUGGAUGUGUCCAAACAUGGACAUACUGCUUCGUGAUUCGAUCGUGUGAACCUCUCCUUAUUUUUUUACCUUCUUUUAUCGCGUUGCUUUUUCGCAAUAAAUAUUUUACGAGUCAUAUUGCGAACAUUUUCUAAAUAUAUAACUUUGGGAAGAACAGGAUAAAUUUUAAAAUAAUUACCAUUUAAAAUAACUAAAUUUUCGCGUCAAAUUCUACGCGAAACGAAAAUAUUUAAAAAAAAGAAAACAAUGACGCGUAUCGUAUUUUUAUUGAAUUUCUGAGAGCAUUAUUAGAUAAAAUUAUUCUAUAACAAUAAACAAAACCAAAUACAAGCGAAAACCGAAUAUGUAAAUGUGUUCCCCGUUUUGGAGAUGCGACAUCGUGUUACGAUGAUAUCAUCGUAAAGUGUUACCCAAUAACCGGACUGGUCGCAAAAUCGGAUAUUCUUAGUUUUCGAAUUGAUAAUUUCUAAUCGAUCAAGAUCAAUGACGGAAACGAGCGAUACCUUCGAACAAGGAAAAAUAAAAAUGGCGAAAAAUUGUAGAAAAUGAGAGAAAUAAGAUAAGGAUAAAAAUUGAAAGAGAACAGGAUUCGUAAGAGAAAAGGAUCGAGAAGAACAACUGGGUGACUCACAAUCAGAUUUCGAAGCUACCGUUAUCGAGUUGGCUCCCUUGUUGGAUCCACGACUCCGCCGCUCUGUUUCAAAGUAGAAAACGACACCAUUUACGGCAACUUGCGGAUCGGUUGUUACUCGUUUUCAGACUCGUAUCACACACGAUCAUUCGAGAAAGUAGUCGUAUGUCAAAAUCUUGUCCUCGAUACAACUCGGCCAUCCCUACUGGUCCUCGCGUGUAAAUCUCAUCGCGAUGCGAUAUUUCGAAUGUUUUUUCUUUUUCUUGCAAUAAUAAUCUAUAAAAUAUAAGUUGUAGAAUAUUUCCGAAUUA
Apis florea (little honeybee) is the source of this 1227-nucleotide long non-coding RNA. NCBI's taxonomy places the organism in Eukaryota, Metazoa, Arthropoda, Insecta, Hymenoptera, Apidae. The record is from RefSeq and is a predicted model, not a curated record.